Molecule: ribosomal RNA, 781 nt
Filed under: uncultured Haemophilus sp.
Lineage: Bacteria; Pseudomonadati; Pseudomonadota; Gammaproteobacteria; Pasteurellales; Pasteurellaceae
Description: bacterial SSU rRNA
Rfam family: Bacterial small subunit ribosomal RNA
Source: RNAcentral
GGAGAAAGCUUGCUUUCUUGCUGACGAGUGGCGGACGGGUGAGUAAUGCUUGGGAAUCUGGCUUAUGGAGGGGGAUAACGACGGGAAACUGUCGCUAAUACCGCGUAGUGUCGAGAGACGAAAGUGCGGGACUGAGAGGCCGCAUGCCAUAGGAUGAGCCCAAGUGGGAUUAGGUAGUUGGUGGGGUAAAGGCCUACCAAGCCUGCGAUCUCUAGCUGGUCUGAGAGGAUGACCAGCCACACUGGAACUGAGACACGGUCCAGACUCCUACGGGAGGCAGCAGUGGGGAAUAUUGCGCAAUGGGGGGAACCCUGACGCAGCCAUGCCGCGUGAAUGAAGAAGGCCUUCGGGUUGUAAAGCUCUUUCGGUAUUGAGGAAGGUUGAUGUGUUAAUAGCACAUCAAAUUGACGUUAAAUACAGAAGAAGCACCGGCUAACUCCGUGCCAGCAGCCGCGGUAAUACGGAGGGUGCGAGCGUUAAUCGGAAUAACUGGGCGUAAAGGGCACGCAGGCGGUUAUUUAAGUGAGGUGUGAAAGCCCCGGGCUUAACCUGGGAAUUGCAUUUCAGACUGGGUAACUAGAGUACUUUAGGGAGGGGUAGAAUUCCACGUGUAGCGGUGAAAUGCGUAGAGAUGUGGAGGAAUACCGAAGGCGAAGGCAGCCCCUUGGGAAUGUACUGACGCUCAUGUGCGAAAGCGUGGGGAGCAAACAGGAUUAGAUANCCUGGUAGUCCACGCUGUAAACGCUGUCGAUUUGGGGGUUGGGGUUUAACUCUGGCGCCC